Molecule: RNA transcript, 3374 nt
Organism: Capsella rubella
Lineage: Eukaryota; Viridiplantae; Streptophyta; Magnoliopsida; Brassicales; Brassicaceae
Gene name: phospholipase SGR2
Exons: 24
Source: RefSeq, a predicted model, not a curated record
AAAACUUAAAACCUUUCAAUUCAUUUUCGAUUUCACAGCUGUCACUCUCUUUUUUUCAUCAUUUUCAAACGACCUUUUUUUUUGGUUUGUUCCUUGUUUCUAAUUCUCUUCUCUGGGAUUUGGCUUUUCAUCGAAUCAAAAAAAUCUGUAAUCUUUCUGUUAAUUCCCGUCUAAAGCUUCAUCCUUUAACACCACCUGGGUCGUGAUGGAAGAUAGAGAAGCACGUUUAGGAACUCGGGAGAUUAAUGAAACUUCUCCGGAUUUGUUGAAGAAUACGCCUUCGAAUAUUGCGAGAUUGGAAGAUGUGAUUGAGCAAUGUUAUGGUAGACAAAAGUAUCUUGCUCAGACUCGAAGUCCAUCUGAUGGGAGUGAUGUUCGGUGGUACUUUUGUAAGGUUCCUUUAGCUGAAAACGAAUUAGCUGCUUCAGUACCUCGCACUGAUGUAGUAGGAAAGAGUGAGUAUUUCCGUUUUGGUAUGAGGGAUUCUCUUGCGAUUGAGGCAUCUUUCCUUCAGAGAGAAGAUGAGUUGUUGUCACUCUGGUGGAAAGAGUAUGCAGAAUGCAGUGAAGGUCCGAGACCACAAGUUAAUUCUAAAAGCAAAUUGGUUAAGCAGUCAAUCGAAACUCCUUCUGAAGCUUCUGUGUCCUCUAGUCUAUAUGAAGUUGAAGAGGAAAGAGUUGGUGUACCUGUUAAGGGUGGGCUAUAUGAGGUGGACUUGGUGAGGAGGCAUUGUUUUCCCGUGUACUGGAAUGGAGAUAAUCGCCGUGUGCUUAGAGGCCAUUGGUUUGCUCGUAAAGGUGGCCUAGACUGGCUUCCAAUGCCAGAAACACUUUCUGAGCAGUUGGAGGUUGCAUAUCGUAACAAGGUUUGGCGCAGAAGAAGUUUUCAACCCUCUGGGCUUUUUGCAGCUCGUAUCGAUUUGCAGGGUUCCAGUCUGGGACUCCAUGCUCUCUUUACUGGGGAGGAUGACACCUGGGAAUCGUGGCUUAAUGUUGAUCCUUCUGGAUUCUCUGGCAUUGUUGGAUAUACUGGGAAUGGAAUUAAGUUGAGACGAGGUUAUGCUGGUUCCUACUCUUCAAAACCUACGCAGGAAGAACUACGACAACAAAAGGAGGAAGAAAUGGAUGACUACUGUUCUCAAGUCCCUGUUCGUCAUCUUGUAUUUAUGGUUCAUGGUAUUGGCCAAAAAGUCGAAAAGUCUAAUCUUGUUGACGAUGUUGGAAAUUUUCGGCAAAUCACGGCAGCUUUAGCGGAGCGUCAUCUAACCUCUCAUCAGCUCAGCACUCAACGAGUCCUUUUCAUCCCAUGCCAGUGGAGAAAGGGUCUAAAGCUAAGCGGUGAAGCUGCUGUUGAUAAAUGUACUUUAGACGGUGUACGGCGUUUACGAGAGAUGCUGAGUGCAACUGUUCAUGAUGUGUUAUACUACAUGAGCCCCAUAUACUGUCAGGCUAUAAUUGAUUCGGUUUCAAAGCAGCUGAAUAGACUGUAUCUGAAAUUUUUAAAGCGGAAUCCUGACUAUGUAGGAAAGAUUUCCAUUUAUGGACAUUCUUUGGGGAGUGUUCUCUCCUAUGACAUCUUAUGUCAUCAGCACAAUUUGUCAUCCCCAUUUCCAAUGGAUUCAAUAUACAAGAAAUUUUUUCCAGAUGAAGAAUCUCCUCCAGUUCCAGCUGGCGUGGACAAACCUUGUAGUUCACAUCCAUCAUCAAAUCUUGAGUCAGAAAAAUCAAAGCAGUUGAAUAACACUGAGGAAAUCACAGGUCAAGAUAAUAACAUGAUGGCUAAAGAAUCAACGGUAUUGGAGGAUCACGAUGUCAUCCAGGAAGCUCCUUCAUUGAUCUCUGAUUCUGUUGUAGACAACGUGGGUUUGGAAAGAAGAGGCAGCCAGGAAGAUGACCAUCAUGAUUCUAAUGGUGCUAUUUCCGCACAGGAUGGUCCAGAUGGAGCGAACUGUGAAACACCUGAUUCUUCAUCAUGUUCUCAAGAGCAAUCAUGGGAUAAAGAGAGUGGCAUUUCUAAUAAUGAGAAGACUAUCAAGUUGUUACAAGAAGAGGUUAACUCAUUGAGGUCAAAAGUAGCGCAGCUGCAAUCAGAGAAUGCCAGGAUAUUGUCUGAUGAAAAAGCGAAGGCAUCUGUGGUGCCUAAGCAGUUCAACAACGAGAAGGCGCCAACUGAAGAUGCCAAUACACCAACAAGCUUUACUCCUUUUAUCAAGUACCAAAAGCUUGAGUUCAAGGUUGACACUUUCUUUGCAGUUGGGUCUCCUCUUGGAGUAUUUCUCGCCCUUCGAAAUAUACGUCUUGGGAUAGGUAAGGGAACAGAUUACUGGGAAGAGGAGAAUGCUAUUGAAGAGAUGCCAGCUUGUCGUCGAAUGUUCAACAUUUUUCACCCUUAUGAUCCUGUUGCAUAUAGAUUGGAGCCACUUGUCUGUAAAGAGUACCUUCCCAGGCGACCUGUUAUUAUUCCCUACCACAGAGGUGGUAAGCGGUUGCAUAUUGGAUUACAGGAUUUCAAAGAGGAUUUUGUGGCGCGUUCACAGAGAGUAAUGAAUCAUUUUGAUUCAGUAAGGACAAGAGUUCUCACUAUUUGUCAAUCCAAAAGUGCGGAUAACCUAGACGAGAUGGAAGAAACUGAUGACGAAAAGGAUGGAAGGACCUAUGGUUCCUUAAUGAUGGAGAGAUUAACUGGAACUAGAGAUGGUCGAAUAGAUCACAUGCUCCAGGAUAAAACCUUUGAGCAUCCGUAUCUACAAGCAAUAGGAGCUCAUACAAACUAUUGGAGAGAUAAUGAUACUGCUCUUUUUAUAAUUAAACACUUGUAUCGCGAGUUACAAGAUGAACCAAACUCACCCAUGGAUUCCGUCGAAGGAGAUGAUAGUCCAAAAGACUCAAGUAGACCUCAUAGCUGGAUAGACGGAAGUGAGACUAAUUAUGAUGAUGAAGAACUUCCUUUAACAUUCUCCGACAAACAAAUCGCUAGAACCUUCUCCGCAGAAGCCAAGAAAUAUUUGAAGAAGCCUUGAGACUUCUGACCAUGGGUUUGAAUAUUUGAAAUCUGGCGAGCUCCCUGAUUUUGUUUUUGUUUCCUGUGCAGAAGUAACAUAUAGUGUAGAAGAUGUGAAAAGGAUAAACUCUUACAUGGUUUUGCCACAUUGUAACCAUAAUGUCUGGAGUUGAAGAUGUUUCGCAGACAUUGGCUGAAAAACUGAGUCAGACUCUAAAGCUUCAGCGAGUUCAGGCCACACGAUAGCAGAAACUGACCACGAGCCAUCAUUGCAGGCGCUAGGUCGCUGGUUCAGCCACAGGGAACCGUCGUCCUGAAGACAAGACCAAAGCUGGCCCUUCUUGUCCGAGAACCACCCGAGCCAACAUCAGUCC